Molecule: long non-coding RNA, 98 nt
Organism: Myripristis murdjan (pinecone soldierfish)
Lineage: Eukaryota; Metazoa; Chordata; Actinopteri; Holocentriformes; Holocentridae
Exons: 3
Source: RefSeq, a predicted model, not a curated record
CUCGGGCUCCCGUAUCCCAAGAUGCUUUGCGUGCUGCUGCUCAGUCGAAAAAAGUGAACUGAAAUGGCGACGGCGGCAUCUAAAUCCAGAUUUAAUAU